GAUGAACGCUGGCGGCGUGCCUAAUACAUGCAAGUCGAGCGAACGGACGAGAAGCUUGCUUCUCUGAUGUUAGCGGCGGACGGGUGAGUAACACGUGGAUAACCUACCUAUAAGACUGGGAUAACUUCGGGAAACCGGAGCUAAUACCGGAUAAUAUUUUGAACCGCAUGGUUGAAAAGUGAAAGACGGUCUUGCUGUCACUUAUAGAUGGAUCCGCGCUGCAUUAGCUAGUUGGUAAGGUAACGGCUUACCAAGGCAACGAUGCAUAGCCGACCUGAGAGGGUGAUCGGCCACACUGGAACUGAGACACGGUCCAGACUCCUACGGGAGGCAGCAGUAGGGAAUCUUCCGCAAUGGGCGAAAGCCUGACGGAGCAACGCCGCGUGAGUGAUGAAGGUCUUCGGAUCGUAAAACUCUGUUAUUAGGGAAGAACAUAUGUGUAAGUAACUGUGCACAUCUUGACGGUACCUAAUCAGAAAGCCACGGCUAACUACGUG
This 497-nucleotide ribosomal RNA is filed under the name uncultured bacterium. Its description in RNAcentral is "partial 16S ribosomal RNA". It matches the Rfam family "Bacterial small subunit ribosomal RNA", at positions 28 to 507 of the family's 1533-position model. The record is from RNAcentral.